UUGGAUGACGGAACCGUCGCUGCCGAAAAAGUUGAACAUUUUUCAACUUUCUGACGGUGGCGAACGCUCCAAGUCAACGGACGGAUCCACAAUGCAUUGCGCGACCGUCCCCAUUCAAAGUCAAUGGGCAACGGACAACUGACGGAGGUAGUGGGCACGGGGCGUCAUUGUUCCGACGUUUCAAUGGUCCGAAAUAUUUCCCAUUAAGCCUCGUGCCCACUGCACCGUCAGUCAACGGACGUCAGAAGGCGUGGCUGACGGAUGGGGGAGUAGUCUUUGCAGAUGCAUCCGUCAGCCAAUCAAAUCGGUUCGCCGGGUUCUUCCCGCUUCUUCCUGCUUGUUGCGAGGCAAGAUUACCCGCUUUCCCGCUUUCCAGUAUCGUCAGAGCCCGAGUCGCGUCACAGUGCUUAAAUUUGCAUACGCGAUCUGAUUGGAUGACGGAUCCGUCGCUGCCGAAAAAGUUGAACAUUUUUCAACUUUUUGACGGUGGCGAACGCUCCAAGUCAACUGACGGAUCCACAAUGCAUUGCGCGACCGUCCCCAUUCAAAGUCAAUGGGCAACGGACAACUGACGGAGGUAGUGGGCACGGGGCGUUACGCCUCGUGCCCACUGCACCGUCAGUCAACGGACGUGGGAAGGCGUGGCUGACGGAUGGGGGAGUAGUCUUUGCAGAGGCAACCGUCAGCCAAUCAAAUCGCUUCGCCGGGUUCUUCCCGCUUCUUCCUGCUUGUUGCGAGGCAAGAAGACCCGCUUUCCCCCUUUCCAGUAUCGUCAGAGCCCGAGUCGCGUCACAGUGCUUAAAUUUGCAUACGCGAUCUGAUUGGAUGACGGAACCGUCGCUGCCGAAAAAGUUGAACAUUUUUCAACUUUCUGACGGUGGCGAACGCUCCAAGUCAACGGACGGAUCCACAAUGCAUUGCGCGACCGUCCCCAUUCAAAGUCAAUGGGCAACGGACAACUGACGGAGGUAGUGGGCACGGGGCGUUAGAUCGACAUGCCACUAUGCCGACGGUUCAAUGUUCCGAAAACGGAACCCAUUGGUCCGAAGGUCCGUUUGUCCGACUUUUCAAAAAGGAGGUGCAUUAGGCCGAGGGUUCAAUAUGCCGAAUAGUCCAAGGCGCAAUUCCACAUGUGUGAUUAUGAAACCAAAAAUAAAAGACGAUGUAGGCUAAGUUCCAGCAGUGCACAUCACAAAGCCAGACGGUUGCUGUGGGCUUGAACGGUCACAAGAGGUGAAUUUAUGAAGCGCACGUUAUACAAGGACUAAUACUUUUAUGUAAAGAAGUCAAACGAGAUCUCGCAGAGCAGCUUGUUCCAGGAACUUGGUUGGAGAAAACUGGACAUGAUAUCGAGGGACUUCCACCACAGGAAUAUGGGAACGACUGUGGGAUCUUCAUGAUUAUGUACGUUUGGUACCUUGCCAUGGAGGCACCAUUUGACUUCACUGUUAAAGACAUGCCAGUCCUCAGAAAAUAGUGGUGCACAGUACUGCUUGAGAACUUCCACCUGGAUGGGCACGGCAGAAGGUUCGCACACUUCACGGAGGAGGCCAAACAAAUGGAGGUUGGACUACUUCCACCAGUCUUCAGACUGAAGCGAAAAAGAGAAGUGAAUGACGUUUCCAUUUGACUGUUUGAUUCUUUUGACAGUGAGUUGGAGCUGAUGGCAGCAUGAAGAACCUAUAUCUUUAAGAUUCUGUAGAUUAUUUGUUGAAUAAAUUGUGAGGAAACUUUGGUGUGGUUAUUCUUCAAUGUAUCUUUAUAUCAAAUUAUGAUGAUAUACUUGACAAAAAAUAUUGACAUUUAUGACACAUUAAAACAAUUACUUAAUUCUAAUGGUAAGUAAAGGUGAGUAAAGUGUAUAAUACACUCAAUUCCAUUCAAUAAUUGUCUACACACUGAACUAGUUUAUUUGUUAAAAUAACGUUAAAAAAAAAAAGCUAUAAGCUAAGCUAUACAAAUGGUUAUUGUUUUAUCAUGUACAUUUUUUGGUCUAAGUUCAAUAACGCAAAAAAGAAUCCUGAGGUAUUUGUCUAAAUAACGUUAAAAAAACUUUUCUAAGGUA
Molecule: long non-coding RNA, 2065 nt
Organism: Gadus chalcogrammus (walleye pollock)
Lineage: Eukaryota; Metazoa; Chordata; Actinopteri; Gadiformes; Gadidae
Exons: 6
Source: RefSeq, a predicted model, not a curated record